ACAAUCUAAUGACAUUCCAUAGGAAUAAAAAUCCAAUGGGAUCCAGUUCUUAGCAGUCCCAGCCUAGUCAGAAGUACAAAGUCAAAUACCAUUUGCACAUCACCAAGAGGUACAAUCUGAUGAGUAACAGGAUAUCUGAUCUAAAAGCUUGCCAGGUUUCACAAGCUGUUUGAGUAUCACCAUGGCAGAUCAAGAAGAAAUAUGAAGGCCAGGUUCAUAACAAGCAGUUUCUUCAUUGCAAUUACAGAUUUAAAAACUUGAAUGA
Lytechinus variegatus (green sea urchin) is the source of this 265-nucleotide long non-coding RNA. RefSeq lists it as uncharacterized. Lineage: Eukaryota; Metazoa; Echinodermata; Echinoidea; Temnopleuroida; Toxopneustidae. The record is from RefSeq and is a predicted model, not a curated record. The transcript has 3 exons.